CCUACGGAGGCAGCAGUGGGGAAUAUUGGACAAUGGGGGCAACCCUGAUCCAGCAAUGCCGCGUGAGUGAGGAAGGCCUUCGGGUUGUAAAGCUCUUUCGGCGGGGACGAUGAUGACGGUACCCGCAGAAGAAGCCCCGGCUAACUUCGUGCUAGCAGCCGCGGUAAUACGAAGGGGGCUAGCGUUGCUCGGAAUCACUGGGCGUAAAGCGCACGUAGGCGGCUUUUUAAGUCAGGGGUGAAAUCCUGGAGCUCAACUCCAGAACUGCCUUUGAUACUGAAGAUCUUGAGUUCGGGAGAGGUGAGUGGAACUGCGAGUGUAGAGGUGAAAUUCGUAGAUAUUCGCAAGAACACCAGUGGCGAAGGCGGCUCACUGGCCCGGUACUGACGCUGAGAUGCGAAAGCGUGGGGAGCAAACAGGAUUAGAUACCCUGGUAGUCCACGCCUUAAACGAUGGAUGCUAGCCGUUGUCGGGUUUACUCGUCAGUGGCGCAGCUAACGCAUUAAGCAUCCCGCCUGGGGAGUACGGUCGCAAGAUUAAAACUCAAAGGAAUUGACGG
Molecule: ribosomal RNA, 559 nt
Filed under: uncultured bacterium
Lineage: Bacteria
Description: bacterial SSU rRNA
Rfam family: Bacterial small subunit ribosomal RNA
Source: RNAcentral